GACGUAGGGGGCCAGCGUUGUUCGGAAUUCCUGGGUGUAAAGGGUUCGUAGGCGGUGCGGCAAGUUGGGGGUGAAAUCUCUGGGCUUAACCCAGAGGCUGCUUCCAAAACUGCUGUGCUUGAGUGUGGGAGAGGCGCGUGGAAUUGCAGGUGUAGCGGUGAAAUGCGUAGAUAUCUGCAGGAACACCCGUGGCGAAAGCGGCGCGCUGGACCACUACUGACGCUGAGGAACGAAAGCUAGGGGAGCAAACAGG
RNAcentral lists this ribosomal RNA (253 nucleotides) under uncultured bacterium. RNAcentral describes it as "partial 16S ribosomal RNA". It matches the Rfam family "Bacterial small subunit ribosomal RNA", at positions 524 to 776 of the family's 1533-position model. The record is from RNAcentral.